GAAAAGUUAAAUUUUACCAUUAAAAAUUUAAAGGGUUUAAAUCUAAAUUUUCCAUUUUAGGGGAGGUUGAGGCCCCUGCCAGCCCCUCUGGGUUCGCCACUGGUUUUAUGAUGAAUGAUCUUGUAAAACUGCUGGCAAAUUCUUCUUUACUUGGGGGUCCUUCCAAGUUUUAAGAAGUUGGAGAGUUUAAAUUCGCAAUUUGAUAAUAAC
RNAcentral lists this long non-coding RNA (210 nucleotides) under Gossypium raimondii (Peruvian cotton). Its description in RNAcentral is "long non-coding RNA (GRAI_LNC003973)". The record is from RNAcentral. Lineage: Eukaryota; Viridiplantae; Streptophyta; Magnoliopsida; Malvales; Malvaceae.